GGCUUGGGAAUAGGAUUGUACUUGCCGGCGGAGCCCGGUCGUUGUGGCUGGGCUGACGGUGGGACGAGAGCUGUGUUUAUCUGAUGCUUGGCGCGGUGGCACUCAACGAGCAGCGGUGAUCGACGAGUCCCUGGAGCAGAAACACCGGCAUGGAGCUCACACCACGACAGGUGGACACACGCAAAGGUGUUCCUCUGAGAGGAGAUGCACCAGUGGUGCCUGUGCCUGGUCAGGAGCAAGGUCCUCAGACCGCCAUGCCGUGUCCAACACCUGGCUCAUGCUGGCCGCACGGCCUCUCUCCUACAUGAGAUGACAUCAGUUGCUACAGUGGAUACGAAACCCGUGCCCUGAAGCACGAAAUUUAUAUCCUUAAGCAGAACCUCUUCUCUGAAGUAAAGGCAAAACAUGUUACCAAAGUCUAAUCUUUUUUCACUCUUACUAUCCUCCACCCCCCCCCUUUCUCUAAACCUCUGGCAGCGGUGAUGUCAUGGUGUGCUGACAGUAAAAAUUCUGCCAGGGCAAAGUGCAUGAGGCCGUGUAUCGAAGGGAAGAGGGUGAAUAAUACCAGUUUUCAACGUUGUGUGAGCAGAUGUGGAAAAAAAGGUUGUGUGUCUUCAGAAGUCUUAGUCUACAGAAGUAGAGAGUGCUCAAGUCUUUUGGGGGGAAAGAAAAAAUACACGAGGAGUAAGUUGAAGAAACAUUUAAAAGGAAGUGGGAGAUUCUGUAAUGUAAUUGGAAUGGAAAUAGCAUUAUGGACGGUGCUUACUUGUCUUUCAGAGGCCAACGGCAUAGAAGGGGUGUUCAUAGAAGAGCACAAAUGAGGUAUGAUAACGGUAAACAGGAAUGUGUUAAACAAUCAUAUCCUGUAACUUUGAAGAAGGAACUGAAGUUAUUCACUUCUGUUUGAAACUCAUAUCAAGUGUUAAAAGAUGUGCACCAUAUACCCCUGUGAUGAAAUCAGUCGACCUGGGAUUUUUGCAGCCAGAUCAACAGUCGUGGAAGUUGCAUAAUUCAUGUGAUUUUGUAGCAUUCCUUUCCUUGUUGUCAUACUUGUCUUUGGUGUUUUUUAACAUCUCCUUGUAAAAUAAACCCAUCUUUCUCUGGAAAAAUCUACUUCCU
RNAcentral lists this long non-coding RNA (1119 nucleotides) under Anser brachyrhynchus (Pink-footed goose). RNAcentral describes it as "lncRNA (ENSABRG00000006201.1)". Lineage: Eukaryota; Metazoa; Chordata; Aves; Anseriformes; Anatidae. The record is from RNAcentral.